This 660-nucleotide ribosomal RNA is filed under the name fungal endophyte. Its description in RNAcentral is "eukaryotic LSU rRNA". The stretch from base 180 to 333 matches the Rfam family "5.8S ribosomal RNA". The record is from RNAcentral. Lineage: Eukaryota; Fungi.
UUAAAGAGUUCUAUAACUCCCAAACCCAUGUGAACAUACCUAACGUUGCCUCGGCAGGUCGCACCUACCUUGUAGCACCCUACCCUGUAGGGCCUACCCGGGAGAUGCGGGUAAGCCUGCCGGCGGCCCACCAAACUCUGUUUAAUAUUGAAUUCUGAACAUAUAACUAAAUAAGUUAAAACUUUCAACAACGGAUCUCUUGGUUCUGGCAUCGAUGAAGAACGCAGCGAAAUGCGAUAAGUAAUGUGAAUUGCAGAAUUCAGUGAAUCAUCGAAUCUUUGAACGCAUAUUGCGCCCAUUAGUAUUCUAGUGGGCAGGACCGUUCGAGCGUCAUUUCGACCCUUAAGCCUUAGUUGCUUAGUGUUGGGAGCCUACGGCAACGUAGCUCCUCAAAGUUAGUGGCGGAGUUGGUUCACACUCUAGACGUAGUAAUUUUUUAUCUCGCCUAUUAGUUGGACUGAUCCCCUGCCGUAAAACCCCCAACUUAUCAAGGUUGACCUCGAAUCGGUUCAGACAAACUCGCUAAAUUGAAGCAUCUUAGUCAGCGAAGGAAAAGAAACCAACAGGGAUUGCCCUAGUAACGGCGAGUGAAGCGGCAACAGCUCAAAUUUGAAAUCUGGCCCUCGGGUCCGAGUUGUAAUUUGUAGAGGAUGCUUUUGG